Molecule: long non-coding RNA, 419 nt
Filed under: Gallus gallus (chicken)
Lineage: Eukaryota; Metazoa; Chordata; Aves; Galliformes; Phasianidae
Description: lncRNA (ENSGALG00010014098.1)
Source: RNAcentral
CAAGAUUCUCACUUAUUCCAAUAUUUCUUUUCCAAUACCACACUAACACAUCUGGGAAGAUAGCCUGGAAUUCCAUGAAAUCAGUACAGUGUCCUCAACACCAAAUGCAAACAGCUGCUGCACUGAGAGCAAGUUUGUUUCAGAUAUGCCAUGCUCCUUUCUGCAGGCUGUCUGACUGACACCUUGAAAGACAGAUCAAAUGACCACGGAGGAGACACAUUUUUGGACUUCUGCUACAUUCUUUCAGUAUCUUGCAUUGGAUCCAGUCCAGGUACGAUUUGCCCCAGCCUGCCUUCUACAUACAGAUACCCUCACGCGUGGAUGUGAGGCUGGAGCAGCAGGUACUUCUGCUCGUCUCUGGGAAGGCAAAGCAUGUGGUUUCCCAAGGUAUUUGCUAGAAAGCAAACCAUCAAAAGCAC